This 253-nucleotide ribosomal RNA is filed under the name uncultured prokaryote. RNAcentral describes it as "partial 16S ribosomal RNA". It matches the Rfam family "Bacterial small subunit ribosomal RNA", at positions 524 to 776 of the family's 1533-position model. The record is from RNAcentral.
UACAGAGGUGGCAAGCGUUGUUCGGAAUUACUGGGCGUAAAGGGCGAGUAGGCGGCCUUCUAAGUCAGACGUGAGAUCCCCCGGCUUAACCUGGGAACUGCGUCUGAUACUGGGAGGCUAGAGUAUGGGAGAGGGAUGUGGAAUUCCAGGUGUAGCGGUGAAAUGCGUAGAUAGCUGGAGGAACACCGGUGGCGAAGGCGGCAUCCUGGACCAUAACUGACGCUGAUCCGCGAAAGCUAGGGGAGCAAACGGG